RNAcentral lists this ribosomal RNA (275 nucleotides) under uncultured bacterium. RNAcentral's name for it is "partial 16S ribosomal RNA". It matches the Rfam family "Bacterial small subunit ribosomal RNA", at positions 30 to 307 of the family's 1533-position model. The record is from RNAcentral.
AUUGAACGCUGGCGGCGUGCUUAACACAUGCAAGUCGAUCGGUAACAGGUGUAGCAAUACAUGCUGACGAGAGGCGGACGGGUGAGUAAUGCUUGGGAAUCUGCCUAUUAGUGGGGACAACCCGGGGAAACUCGGGCUAAUACCGCAUACGCUCUACGGAGGAAAGCCGGGGACCGCAAGGCCUGGCGCUAAUAGAUGAGCCCAAGUCGGAUUAGCUAGUUGGUAGGAACGCCUACCAAGGCGACAAUCCGUAGCUGGUCUGAGAGGACGACCAG